ACGGUACACAGCACAGUGCACACUGAAAACACUAUGUAGAAGCUGAAAUAAACCCAAACAAAUUCCAACCUAAGCUAAUACCCGUAAGGUUUUUGCCCUUUAGUAAGUUUAGUGAUUAAACACAACAUAUAAGUGUUUGGAAGUCCAGUCUCCGCACCAGAAGACGGGCAGACGCUAUUCAUGAUUUUUCUAUUUUAAAUUUAUUUUUCUACGAUUCUGAAGUACUAUUGUAGUCAUGAAGUCUGUUGUUUGCGCCAAUAGUUGUUCUCAGAAAUCUUACCGUUGAUUUGCUCACGUGGUUGGUUUGUAUCUUUCCGUCAAAUGUUUGACUGGCAAAUGGGCGUGCCAUUUAAAAGAGGUAACAACCAUGACAAUGCAGUACUAUUGUCGGCAAUGCAGGACUAUUGUCGAUAAAGAAAAGUGUUUCUAUAGCCUAGACAAUGCUUGGACUAAUACACAGUCAUGCAUGCCAAUCCUUGUGUUUUCCUGAGGGUUUUCAUUUUUUUCUUUCGUUUUCGACUUGUUGAGAUGUUAAUAUUCCGAGGAUUAUUCUAAUUGAUUCGACCCAGAGCAACAAGAAGGAUUUAUAUGUGGAAAAAAGGUGAAAUCAAAUCUACCUGUAUUUUGGUUUGUGGCAAUAAAUAGUUUUUGUAUUAUGACAUCAAGUUUUUUAAACUUUGUUAGCUAUAUUUGUUAGAAUUUGUAUGUACAAUCCGAUCACAAAGGAUAAAAAGUGAAUUAGUUAUAUUCUUCUUGUUUUGUGUGUGUGUGUGUGUUUACAGUUGUGCGAGGUCUUGAAAAAUCAUCCACUAUAUUAAAGUGGCGUUGCAAAAAAAAAGAAAUUUAUAGUCACCCGCCGUUUCUAUCUGGUGUGUGCAAUUAAUUGGUAUGAUCAAGUAGAUAAUCAGGGGAUGUCUAUAAGAUCACCAUCCGAAAGAGGUGGCUAGGACCUCUAAAAUAUUCAUCAAUUCAUACCCCCCCCCCCCCUUGCAUCUUGAAUAGUGCACUCCAUAAACCAAGUUUAUUGAUAAGUUUACAUUGAGGUCGCCCUUCUAACAGCCUCCAAAGCUCACGGUGCACCGCGGUGGAGGCGCCAACUUGCAUGUUCAUUCAGCGGGUUGUGUUUGCAAGCAGACGACAUGCCCCCUCUUUCCACAACACUCGGUCAAAAGAUCGACGAGCAUUUGGCACCCUCUUCGACCAACGUAGCAAUUAUCAUUUCUUAAUACCUAUUGUGGAAUUUGGCCGAUAUUCUGAUAUACGACGUCACAAUAAGACUUUACAUUCAUGAAAUGGGAUGUAGCCUAUGUUUCAAUCGAGCGGUAAAAUGUGCGUUCUCUAAUUUUGUUCCACAAAAUAUUAAAAGACUUCAUGGAGGAGGUGUCGUCUGCAACAGUUAUCAUGGUUAUGCAAAGCAAUCGAAACGCUGCCCUGGAUAUAAUAUUUUGUCUCUUUUCUGGAAUUAAGCGAUAAGAAGAGAAAGAGGUGGACAACAUAGCACAUUCAUGAGGACAUUCCAUUCUUUGGCCAGCACACUGGGCGUCAUCCUCGCAAACAUUCGGGUAUUGUGAUUGUUUGACCGCCUCCAUGAUCUGAAGUAGGACCACAGUUGAGCAUAAUAACAGCGCAGAAUAAUAGCACGACUUUUCGUGGUUUUGUUGGUCGGAGGCAUAUUUGAAGAAGCCCAGUAAAGUCUUGGGUUUCUUUUUCUCUCAUUCUGGCUCCCGGUCACCUGUAAAAAAAAGGGAAAGAAUAUCUCUAUUCAGCACGAUGAAGGGGGAAAUUUAAUAAAGUUUGGUGUUCUUCUGUCUAGGUGUGAUGAUGGACUUUCAAUCACAGUGCGCUGUGUCUUUAUGUCCCGUUAUUUUUUACAUGAAACUGUGGAUUAGAAGAUGACCACGAAAUGCGAAUACAAAUACAUCCUAAUUAAAUAAAGAAAAUUUUAUUUUCAACUUCAUGCGCACGUCGAUCUCGAGGGGAGGUGCAAAGAUCAUCUUUAGGAAAUCGUUUUGACCAACUCACAAAAAAUAAAAUACAAAGGAUACUUGUUCACCUAUCGCCUUCAAAGGAGUGAUAAUUAGGUCUUAACCGAGUGCUAACAUUGAUAAAAAAGUGCGGAUUUGCUGAAACUAUAAUCGUCUUGUAGUCUAUCAAGAGGUGAUUACAUCAGUGUUAAGCUCAUUAGACUUGAGGAAAUCCACCGUUGCUUCAUAAUUGAGACACUUUGAAGCAUUUCACACCAUUUGGAAGUGGUGGGGCUUAUCCCAUUUCAAAUACCCAUAGAAGCUUGAGUCGAAAUCCCAUUUUCUGACGGAUCGCACCAUUUCAUGUUAAGAAGAUGAAUCCCCGUCCAACCUAAUUGCGAACUUCUCUGGUUUUCAAGAUUCUUGUUGAUACACUUUGGCGGAGGAAUCGAAACUUCUUUAAUUAUACAUCGGGGUCGAGUUAAGGACAAUUACGAGAUGGGUCGUUGUAGAGGACUCCAUGUUGACAUCCACUGCUAACAUAUGACUUCAGAGUCACCUCUCCCGCCAAGAGUUGUACAACAAACCUCACUCAUUUGACCGCGAAACGUGCACCGUCUGCCCCAAACCGAAAAAUUUGUUACCCCGUGAUUUACAACUUACGAGCAGUGAAACGAGAUCUUGAAAAGAAAAUUGUGAGUAAAACUGAAAAUCAAACGAAAACGAGUGGAGUUUGGGUUCGCAGCCGGUGGUAUUAACUCAAGUUCAUGGAGAGUACAAUUGAUUCUUUGUAGGGUUCUUUUGUAGGAAGUUAUUGCCUCGCGGUUGUUAUCUUUUGUGUAACCUCAAAACACCAUCAAACAGUUAUAUCUUUGUGCCAUUUCAAUUGUAGGCACUCAGUCUAUUUGAUUUCUUGCAGAAAUUCCCCGGCUUUCUUUCGACAAGAAUGAGGAAACAUACAUGCGCUCGAUAAUUGAAGUUUCGUCUGCGUUGAAGAUUGUAUAUGGAAUAAGGGGGACUGAUUUUGUGGUGCGUAUUUCGACUCUGAUUACUUAGCGUCGAGACCCAUUUCGGAUUAACAUUGACCUUCAAGCUUUUAUAUUCGUGCAAUAUCAAGUUUUAUGGUUUUCCUGUCGCCCGUCGGUCGUGAACUUUGCAUAAGCCUGGCUCCCCACUUGGGUGCGACCUAGAAAGGGGGUACAGCUACUCUGAUAACCUAACUUGUGAAAUGUGAUGUGUGAGAAAUGACUUCCUCGAAGGCCAAAAUGUCUCCCAAAUGAGUACCUCGGCUCCAUUUAGCUAUCAGGUUCAAAUACUGAACUCUCCCUCUAAACACGUUCUCCUGUAACUAGUAAUACACCUCUGUUCUUACGAAGUGUUUUUUUUCUCCAAAAACAUUUUCUGUAGAGAUGCAGGAACGGCUCCAGUACUAGAUUUAUUGGAAAGUGUGUUUUGAUUACCGAUUGAGGAUUCUACUUUUUUUUGUAUUCCUUGCUUGACAUCCGUCCAUCUCGGCUAGCAAGAUUUUAAGAGUGGGGACAUACGUAUUGUAAACAGUGCUCUUCAACCACUCGAUAUCUCUGUUGCUUCGUACUGUAACCUCCGUGUUUCUUUGAUUGUUCGAAAGAUUUACUGUUCUCAGCUUGGCUUCAGAAGUUAUCGAUUUUCGUCCAGGGCAGGCCUGUUGAAUGCCUUCGAACAGUGACAAAAUAUCAAUAGACACAUCCCUUUAAAUGAAGACAACAAAGGAAUGAACCUACAUUGGCAUGAUCAAAGAUUGUUAUGGACACCUAGUGAUGUACAGUGCAUACUGUCUUGUCGAGUUUGUGGACUAUUGCCCUGCGAAAAACAAAAAAAAGCAUUUACAUUCUAAAAAAAUCAAUCUUUAGUACUUUUUACUAACUAUCCAUCAACAAGAGUCGCCAUAACCAAUAACCUCCUAUUGAGUUUGAAUACUUCGAGUACGACAGUUUACUUUUAAUUUUUUUCACGAGGAGAUCGCAUUUAAUACUUUUAAAGCAAAUAUUUGAUAUACUUGGUAUUAUCUGCUGAAGAGCUUGUUCUAAAUGCACGAGAAUUUCACCAUGACGUCGCGUAACUUCCGUAACCGUAGCAACGGGAGUGCGGGGAUGAUACCAGAAUGUAAAAUUGCCCUCCUUGGAAGUCCUGGUGUUGGGAAAUCCGCCCUGACUGUGAAGUUUAUUACACGGCGAUUCAUCAAUGAAUAUGACCCAACUCUUGGUAAGUCACGUUUCUUAAUCAUUAAUAAACAGGCAGAAGCCCUUAUAAGAUCUAAUUUUCCAAACAAUAUAAUAUCUUAUCUCUUUAUUGAAGUAAUGUAAGUAAAUCCUUGCGCACAUCCAUCUAGUCAUCUGUCAAUCCACCCAUCCACCAGCCAUGCCAGCAGAAUGAUCAAGACUGCUCAUUAAAGCAUGCCCCUUCAUAUUAGAUGUGCAACGAUCUAUAGUGUAUGGGGUGUGUGUUUGCAGGGGGGGGGGGGCUGUUAAGACAA
Lytechinus variegatus (green sea urchin) is the source of this 4476-nucleotide long non-coding RNA. RefSeq lists it as uncharacterized. Lineage: Eukaryota; Metazoa; Echinodermata; Echinoidea; Temnopleuroida; Toxopneustidae. The transcript has 2 exons. The record is from RefSeq and is a predicted model, not a curated record.